GUGAAUCAUCGAAUCUUUGAACGCACAUUGCGCCCGCCAGUAUUCUGGCGGGCAUGCCUGUUCGAGCGUCAUUUCAACCCUCAAGCCCCAGCGGUUUGGUGUUGGGGACCGGCGAGUACAGAGGCUUUGGGGACUUGUCCCCCUUCCCUCGGCGCCGCCCCCGAAAUGAAUUGGCGGUCUCGUCGCGGCCUCCUCUGCGUAGUAGCACAACCUCGCAUCAGGAGCGCGGCGCGGCCACUGCCGUAAAACGCCCAACUUUUUUUAAGAGUUGACCUCGAAUCAGGUAGGAAUACCCGCUGA
RNAcentral lists this unclassified non-coding RNA (300 nucleotides) under uncultured Metacordyceps. RNAcentral's name for it is "sequence contains 5.8S rRNA gene, ITS2". The stretch from base 1 to 71 matches the Rfam family "5.8S ribosomal RNA", at positions 84 to 154 of the family's 154-position model. The record is from RNAcentral. Lineage: Eukaryota; Fungi; Ascomycota; Sordariomycetes; Hypocreales; Clavicipitaceae.